Long non-coding RNA from Alligator sinensis (Chinese alligator), 238 nucleotides. RefSeq lists it as uncharacterized. NCBI's taxonomy places the organism in Eukaryota, Metazoa, Chordata, Crocodylia, Alligatoridae. The transcript is spliced from 3 exons. The record is from RefSeq and is a predicted model, not a curated record.
GUUUUGUAUUCCAGCCUGGGCCCUGGAGCACACGUUCUGCGACAGGAGGUGAAUGCUGAUGUUCCUGAAGGCGCCCAGAGCCAGGCCCAUCGCUCCGGUCCAAUCCAGGAUGCUGAAGUCCCGGUUACCCCCCCACCCAUUUACCUACCCCCACGACAACCUCAGCCACCGUAACCUGGAGGCCUGGGAUGAGAUAUAAUUUGGUACAGCACACACACCAACUGCAGAUGCUUCCUCA